GCUUUGGAAGUUUUGGUAGAAAUGAAAAAACAAGGUAUACCUUUCAACAAAGAAACCUAUCUACUUGCAGUUGCAAUAUGCUAUAAAUUGGGCAACCUGGAGUCUUCCAAAACUUUUGUGAGACUGCUUGAAGAAGCACAGCUUAAAGGGGACACGUCACUGAGAGCAUACUGCUUUACAAUGGCAACUGCUCUCAAGCAGAACAAUAUAGCACAAGCCAAGUUUUAUUGAUCCCAGAUAAUGAGAACAGAGAACAAACUAUACAGUAAUCUCAAAACUAUUUCUUGCCUACUGGAACCAAGUUAAUACUUUCCAUGUCCAUCAUCUAAUGGAAUAUUUACAUAGUUAACCACUUUUUCUUUAAAAACCCUUUUCUAGGGGUUGGAGUGUCCAUGGUGUUUUUCCCAAGGGUAUUUGUCUGAUGAACUUUUUCCAGAUCCUGAUGACAUAUCUAGAAAUAGCCAGAUCAAGAAAAGGCUUUUCACACUGCCAAAAUAGCUGCAAUAAGAAGCAAUAUUCCAGUAUGGCUCUGAUUAUUCCUGUGUGAGAGUACGUUACAAGGCUUAUAAAUAAUAUUGGUCUUUCUGUGCUGUCUCUUCUCUUUCACCCAGGUUUGGAUGUCCAAACAACAAACUGCUUUCUCUCCCAAUCUGAGCAGUCAGAUGUU
RNAcentral lists this long non-coding RNA (667 nucleotides) under Cyanistes caeruleus (blue tit). Its description in RNAcentral is "lncRNA (ENSCCEG00000016314.1)". Lineage: Eukaryota; Metazoa; Chordata; Aves; Passeriformes; Paridae. The record is from RNAcentral.